RNAcentral lists this non-coding RNA (100 nucleotides) under human gut metagenome. The record is from RNAcentral.
CAGGGGCGCUGGAGGCAACUCCGGCUGAGAUUGGGGCGUAGCGCCGUCCCAGGUCGCCUUGAACCUGAUCCGGGUAAUGCCGGCGUAGGAAGUCGAAGAU